RNAcentral lists this long non-coding RNA (3357 nucleotides) under Nicotiana benthamiana. RNAcentral describes it as "long non-coding RNA (NBEN_LNC031597)". The record is from RNAcentral. Lineage: Eukaryota; Viridiplantae; Streptophyta; Magnoliopsida; Solanales; Solanaceae.
UUAAAACCCUAAUCCCCCUCCCCAUUCAAAAGGGACAGAAUCGAAUCUUAGACUACAUUUAGAGAAGAGGCUGCGCAGCUUUGAACACAAAAGAACACUUAAAAAAUAACCCAUAGAAAAGAUUCACCGUUCUGCUUCUGCUUGAACCAAAACGAGGAGCUUCUUCUUCAGAGAAGACGCCAAGACGCAUCCACGAUCCAGUCACUCAUACAAAAAUGAAAAUACUUUAUUUUCUUCUUGCAUCUUCGUGACUCUCGUCUCAAAAAUCAGAGGCAUCGUUUUCUGUUUUUUGUUCCAGAAUGGAGAUUGUUUUACUUUUGAAAUCGAGGUACUGCCAGUUGGUUUUCCGGUUUGAUUGAGGUGUCGUUCGAAGUUGGUUCAUUCGAGUUCCAUCCGUCUUCAAUUUCGGCGUUAGCAGGUUGACUUACGUUUCUUGUGUAAUUGCUAAACACUUCCUUUAAUUGAAAGCUUGAUUUUCAGUUUCACAAUUUGUUUUUCCCAUCUUAUUUAAUUUUAUUAGAUCUCCGUUACCUGUGAUUUCGAAUUUGUUUUGCUUGGAGAUACUGGGGAUUGCGAUCUAAUGUGAUUUUGUGAUCGUUGAGUUAGUAUUCGAAUCUAUCGAGCCUCACAUGAACAUGCCUUAUGUUUGAUUAGUUUUCUUGCUAGAAGUUCAAUUGAGUCGAGUUUGAAGUUUUCCUAACUCACUUGUCGACGUAGCUCUUAGUGGUAAAACGACUUACUUUCUGUAUUGAGGGAAACAUUAGAGUUGGAAAACAACCUUUCUGCGUAGAUGAAUGAGAGUGUAUUUUCCUUCAUCUAUGUAUUUGCUGUAAUCUUCAUUAAUUAAAGACCAUUGAAGGUUCAAUUCUUCUUUCCUCUAAAUGUUACUGUUUAAUUAUUUGUGAAUACAAGUAAAAUGGAAAUUGCUUGAAUUAGUUGGUCUGUUCGCUUUAUAUGUUAUCGCCUCGGCUGUUUGGAUUAGAACUUGGUUUUUAAUUCAUGUAUUGUUGGUUCAAGGAGGACUCUUGUGAUUCCAGGUUGAAUCUGAAUCCUUUUUAGGUUUGUGUUUUACCAUUGUUGAGCUCCUAAGUUGAUGUUGCUUUGCUAAAUAUUUUGAACUCCUUUCUCACAUCCUAGAUGUUGGUUGUUUUUGUUUGUUGCUUAUAUUUCCUGCUAGAAGCUAACUCAUCUAACUCACCUUCAUCUGGUGUUACUUUUUGUUAAAUACAUUGCAUUGUAGUUGUAAAGGUGUUGAAUGGCUUUGUUGCAAGAAACGUUUUUGUCAAUUGUCCUUGGUAUAAUCUUUAGCUUGUAAUCUCCAUCAAGGAAGAAAGCAAUUCUGAUCCUUAAUUGGAGUAUCUGGACGUCCUUUAAGCGUGUUCUCAUACUUGGAAAUCAGAAUGCUUUAGGAAAUUUCUUUCUUUACUAAGUUCAUGAUGUUGAAAGUUCCAAUCAGGUGUUACAUGGAUGUGCAAUAUUAGUAAAACAAAUUCAUGAAUAUCCGUAGUUUGUUUUAGUUGAGUAAAGCCUUUUGGAAUAAUUUGAGGCACGCUGCGCCAAAUAAAAUCAUGAAUUGCAUGGCCAUCAUUUUAAUUAAUUUUGAUUUAAUCCUUAGAAUUCGAGGCGUGUCGUUUAGUGAAAUUUAUAUUGCCCUCGCAAAGUUAUAACACGUUAGUUGCUUUAGGCGUGCAUUUUAAUAAUAUUACCUUAUAAACUCGGGUGUGCAUUUCAUGUGGCCUAAAUUCAAAUCUCAAAACGUUGAAUAAAAUGUGUCGAGGAUCCGGGUGCAUUUCAUGUGAUGUGAUCCAAAUACACAUUUUAAACGACGUUAAAUUAAAAACGGUAAACAAUUUCAAAUUGCAUUAUAGGAUAACAUGUAUUAAAAUCAGAUUUUAGCCGAAUAUAAUAGUUGAGUGACCGUGCUAGAACCAUGAAAUUCGGGAGUGCCUAACAUCUUCUUCCAGGUUAAUAGAAUUCCUUACCCGGAUUUCUGGUUCGUAGACUAUAAUAACAGAGUCAAACCUUUCUCGAUUCGGUUUUUAAACCGGUGACUUGGGACACCAUUAUUUAUCCCAAGUGGCAACUCUGAAAUCUCUUAAAUAAUCAGACCCCUUUCGAUUGUCCUUAAAUCGGAAAAACUCCCUUCGUCGAGGUUGUAGUGUCCAAAAGGAGGUGUGACAGCUUUAGACUCUGCUGGGGAGAAAACCUAGAAUCUCUUGUUCAGGGUCAAGAAUUUGAGCUUUGAAUAACUGUUAUAUUUGGCUUUCUGAUUUUCCUAUAUGUUCCAUGAUGUAUGUGCUAAAUGCUUUACCGCUUUGAUAUUUGUUGAACUGUAUAUAAACUGCUACGAAACCCUUCCUCUCUUUGAGUCUUCUAAAUCAUGGAGAAGGGUGCACUUCAUGUGACUUCUUUUCUAUUUCGAGUUUUAUCCCAAUUUUAAAAUGAGGUUCGGAUAACCUGCUAAGCCAACGGAGUUUCUGUAUCCCCGGUACGCUGCCCCCAACCCCCGGGCCCGUGUUGUCCGCUCGGAUGAGCCAGGUCUAGAACAAUAAACCCAAGGCUUAAACUUAGUAUAACAAAACCUCAUGCUGAAUCCCUAGUAGGAACGUUUGUUUACAUCAUGUGCACUUGACUUAGAGGACUCAACACAGGGGUUGGAUCCGUUUAGGACAGGUAUACCCGAAAUAACAGACCAUCUUGAUGCAUCCUAUAUGCUAUAUGUUGCAUUUUUUCAAGGUGAACGGGUCAUUUCGCUAACCAAUGAUUGUUGAGGGUAAUUAAAAACAAAAUGAGGAAAAACAAAUGAAAAAAGGGUGAGUGAAAAUAAAGCAAGUAGGGUCUAGUAUGUUUUUGUUAUAUUUUUUUUUUUAAAAAAGAGACAAAGAUAUAUGAAAAAUUCAAAAAAUAUUUUGCUCUUUUUCAUCAUUUCCCGAAAAUAAAAAAAAUCUAAAAAGAGUUUAUAUAUUUCAUCAUUUUUCAAAAAAAAGAGACAAAAGAAAAUAUUUUCUUUAAAAAAUUAGCUGUUUUUUUAAUUCUUGCUCGUAUCCAAUUUGCCCGAACUACGCAAACCUGAUUCUCGUAUUUCGAGGCGUGAUACGUAGGCAACUCACAUAGGGUCCGAUCAUCCUGGUAAACCUUAGGUUCUUGGCUUUGGCAGGGUCUCAGCUAAAUUUUGCACCUCUAGCCUUUUUUGGUUAAAUAUGUUAUUUUGCAAAAAUAAUCGCAACCUUAGGUUGUAUGUGUCUAAGAGGGAAUGUUAUUAUCUCAGAUAGUGUUGGUUUAAGUUUUUUCAUACAGGUAUGGAUCUACUUACCGGAGUUUGAGCAUCACAGAUACCCAAGGACCAUUGCAUUCAUG